RNAcentral lists this transfer RNA (86 nucleotides) under Tautonia plasticadhaerens. It matches the Rfam family "tRNA". Rfam says of the family: Transfer RNA (tRNA) molecules are approximately 80 nucleotides in length. Their secondary structure includes four short double-helical elements and three loops (D, anti-codon, and T loops). Lineage: Bacteria; Pseudomonadati; Planctomycetota; Planctomycetia; Isosphaerales; Isosphaeraceae. The record is from Rfam by way of RNAcentral.
GCCGGAGUGGCGGAAUUGGCAGACGCGCUAGCUUGAGGGGCUAGUGGGCUUAACGGCUCGUGCAGGUUCAAGUCCUGUCUCCGGCA